UACGGGGGGGGCAAGCGUUGUUCGGAAUUACUGGGCGUAAAGGGCUCGUAGGCGGCCAACUAAGUCGGACGUGAAAUCCCAAGGCUUAACCUUGGAACUGCGUCGGAUACUGGAUGGCUUGAAUUCGGGAGAGGGAUGCAGAAUUCCAGGUGUAGCGGUGAAAUGCGUAGAUAUCUGGAGGAAUACCGGUGGCGAAGGCGGCAUCCUGGACCGACAUUGACGCUGAGGAGCGAAAGCUAGGGGAGCAAACGGG
This 253-nucleotide ribosomal RNA is filed under the name uncultured bacterium. RNAcentral describes it as "partial 16S ribosomal RNA". It matches the Rfam family "Bacterial small subunit ribosomal RNA", at positions 524 to 776 of the family's 1533-position model. The record is from RNAcentral.